This 21-nucleotide small nuclear RNA is filed under the name Arabidopsis thaliana (thale cress). Its description in RNAcentral is "snRNA_06201". The record is from RNAcentral. Lineage: Eukaryota; Viridiplantae; Streptophyta; Magnoliopsida; Brassicales; Brassicaceae.
UGCACCGGAUCCCAUCAGAAC